RNAcentral lists this ribosomal RNA (253 nucleotides) under uncultured bacterium. Its description in RNAcentral is "partial 16S ribosomal RNA". It matches the Rfam family "Bacterial small subunit ribosomal RNA", at positions 524 to 776 of the family's 1533-position model. The record is from RNAcentral.
UACGUAGGGUCCGAGCGUUGUCCGGAAUUAUUGGGCGUAAAGAGCUCGUAGGCGGUUUGUCGCGUCUGCUGUGAAAUCCCGAGGCUCAACCUCGGGUCUGCAGUGGGUACGGGCAGACUGGAGUGCGGUAGGGGAGAAUGGAAUUCCUGGUGUAGCGGUGGAAUGCGCAGAUAUCAGGAGGAACACCGAUGGCGAAGGCAGCACUCUGGGACGUGACUGACGCUGAGACGCGAAAGCGUGGGGAGCAAACAGG